AAACUAGGAUUAGAUACCCAAGUAAAAAAAUUUUUUAGUAAUAAACUUAUAAAGUUAAACUAGAAAUUUUUGGCGGUAAAAUAUUAUAGUUAAAGGGUCUUGAUUAUUUAUAGAAAAUACACAUUAAAAAAAACUUAAGAUUUUUAAUUUAUUUAUCUCCGUAAAAUAAAAUAUUAAUUUUAAUUAAAAAAAAAUUUUAAAGAUUACAGGUCAAGAUAUAAUUAAAAUCAAAGUUUAAUUUAGACACAAAAAAAAAAUAUUUUAAAAAAGAAUUUAAUAGUAAUAAAUAGAAUUAUAAAAAUGAUUAUGAAAUAAUUAUUUUAUGUACAUAUUGCCCAUCACUUUCAUUUUUAAAAUGAAAUAAGUCGUAACAUAGUA
Molecule: ribosomal RNA, 378 nt
Filed under: Tetranychus urticae (two-spotted spider mite)
Lineage: Eukaryota; Metazoa; Arthropoda; Arachnida; Trombidiformes; Tetranychidae
Description: partial 12S ribosomal RNA
Source: RNAcentral